CAGAAACUUCAGCUAACUACCCUUACACCUCUCCACCACCACCGGCCUCUCCUCCCUACCAUUACAAGUCACCACCGCCUCCUUCUCCUUCUCCUCCAGUGCACUACUCACCACCUAAGCAUCCCUACCACCCUAAGUCACCACCACCUCCUGUGUACGCACCACCUAAGCAUCCCUACCACCCUAAGUCACCACCACCUCCUGUGUACCCACCACCUAAGCAUCCCUACCACCCCAAGUCACCACCACCAUCACCAAAGCCUUACCACUACAAAUCCCCACCACCACCUCCUGCUCCAGUGCACUCACCACCCCCACCUAAGGAGCCAUACCACUACAAGUCCCCACCACCACCACCCAAGAAGCCCUACCACUACAAAUCUCCCCCACCACCUCCUCCUCCAGUUCACUCACCACCACCACCCAAGGAGCCUUACCACUACAAAUCUCCACCACCACCACCCAAGAAACCUUACUAUUACAAGUCUCCUCCACCACCACCAAAGAAGCCUUACCACUACAUGUCUCCUCCCCCACCGGUGUACUCACCACCUCCACCAGUGCACUCACACCCACCACCAAAAAAGCCUUACCAUUACAAAUCUCCUCCCCCGCCAGAAUAUUCACCAGCUCCACCAGUGCACUCAACCCCACCACCAAAGAAGCCCUACCAUUACAAAUCCCCACCACCACCACCACCACACAAGAAGCCUUAUUACCCUGUUCACUCACCACCUCCACCUAAGAAGCCUUACCACUACAAAUCCCCACCACCACCUUCUCCUACUCCUCCUAAAUACUCACCACCUAAGCACCCCUACCACUACAAGUCUCCACCACCACCACCAAAGAAGCCUUACCAUUACAAGUCCCCACCACCUCCUUCUCCUACUCCCCCUAAAUACUCACCACCUAAGCACCCCUACCACUACAAGUCACCACCACCACCACCCCAAGAAGCCUUACCACUACAAGUCUCCACCACCACCACCUCCUCCAGUUCCCACACCAUCUCCACCCAAGAAACCUUACCACUACAAGUCUCCCCCACCACCCCCUCCAGUCUACAAGUCUCCUCCACCACCAGUUUACUCACCACCACCACCACCUAAGAAACCUUACAAGCCACCAACUCCUCCAGCAGUUCACCCACCACACGGUUACAUCUAUUCCUCACCCCCACCUCCUCACCACUACUAGAUAUUGAAAGUUUAAUUGCAUCAAGCUGGUAAGCUUCUCCAUUCUAUGCUAUUAUUCAUUAAUUAGUUAGUACUACUGUUGUCAAUUUGGAAAUCACCAUAC
This 1302-nucleotide long non-coding RNA is filed under the name Malus domestica (apple). RNAcentral describes it as "long non-coding RNA (MDOM_LNC008886)". The record is from RNAcentral. Lineage: Eukaryota; Viridiplantae; Streptophyta; Magnoliopsida; Rosales; Rosaceae.